This 464-nucleotide ribosomal RNA is filed under the name uncultured bacterium. RNAcentral describes it as "partial 16S ribosomal RNA". It matches the Rfam family "Bacterial small subunit ribosomal RNA", at positions 28 to 506 of the family's 1533-position model. The record is from RNAcentral.
GACGAACGCUGGCGGCGUGCUUAACACAUGCAAGUCGAACGGAAAGGCCCUGCUUUCAGGGUACUCGGGUGGCGAACGGGUGAGUAACACGUGGGUGAUCUGCCCUGCACUUCUGGAUAAGCCUGGGAAACUGGGGCUAAUACCGGAUAGGAGCCAUUUUUAGUGUGAUGGUUGGAAAGUUUUUUCGGUGUAGGGUGAGCUCGCGGCCUAUCAGCUUGUUGGUGGGGUAAUGGCCUACCAAGGCGGCGACGGGUAGCCGGCCUGAGAGGGUGGACGGCCACGCUGGACCUGAGCUGCGGCCCAGACUCCUCCGGUAGGCAGCGGUGGGGAAUAUUGCACAAUGGGCGCAAGCCUGAUGCAGCGACGCCGCGUCGGGGAUGACGGCCUUCGGGUUGUAAUCUCAUUUCGCUAGGGAAGAAGCUUUUUGUGCCGGAACCUAGAUAAGAAGCACCGGCUACCUCCGU